This 167-nucleotide ribosomal RNA is filed under the name Terminalia arjuna (arjuna). RNAcentral's name for it is "5.8S ribosomal RNA". It matches the Rfam family "5.8S ribosomal RNA". Rfam says of the family: 5.8S ribosomal RNA (5.8S rRNA) is a component of the large subunit of the eukaryotic ribosome. It is transcribed by RNA polymerase I as part of the 45S precursor that also contains 18S and 28S rRNA. Lineage: Eukaryota; Viridiplantae; Streptophyta; Magnoliopsida; Myrtales; Combretaceae. The record is from RNAcentral.
UAAACGACUCUCGGCAACGGAUAUCUCGGCUCUCGCAUCGAUGAAGAACGUAGCGAAAUGCGAUACUUGGUGUGAAUUGCAGAAUCCCGUGAACCAUCGAGUCUUUGAACGCAAGUUGCGCCCGAGGCCUCGGCCGAGGGCACGUCUGCCUGGGUGUCACAACGGCA